CCUACGGGUGGCAGCAGUGGGGAAUAUUGGGCAAUGGGCGCAAGCCUGACCCAGCAACGCCGCGUGAAGGAAGAAGGCUUUCGGGUUGUAAACUUCUUUUCUGAGGGACGUAGAGAGUGACGGUACCUCAGGAAUAAGCCACGGCUAACUACGUGCCAGCAGCCGCGGUAAGACGUAGGUGGCAAGCGUUAUCCGGAUGCAUUGGGUGUAAAGGGCGUGUAGGCGGGAAAGCAAGUCAGAUGUGAAAAUUUAGGGCUCAACCCUGAGACUGCAUUUGAUACUGUUUUUCUUGAGUGCAGGAGAGGCAAUCGGAAUUCGGGGUGUAGCGGUGAAAUGCGUAGAUAUAAGGAGGAACACCAGUGGCGAAGGCGGAUUGCUGGACAGUAACUGACGCUGAGGCGCGAAAGCGUGGGGAGCAAACAGGAUUAGAUACCCGGGUAGUC
RNAcentral lists this ribosomal RNA (443 nucleotides) under uncultured bacterium. RNAcentral's name for it is "partial 16S ribosomal RNA". It matches the Rfam family "Bacterial small subunit ribosomal RNA", at positions 338 to 795 of the family's 1533-position model. The record is from RNAcentral.